UACUCCUACGGGAGGCAGCAGCAAGGAAUUUUCCACAAUGGGCGCAAGCCUGACGGAGCAACGCCGCGUGCGGGAGGACGCCCUUCGGGGUGUAAACCGCUUUUCGGGGGGACGAAGCAAGUGACGGUACCCCCGGAAGAAGGCCCGGCUAACUACGUG
RNAcentral lists this ribosomal RNA (159 nucleotides) under uncultured Sphaerobacter sp. RNAcentral describes it as "partial 16S ribosomal RNA". It matches the Rfam family "Bacterial small subunit ribosomal RNA", at positions 334 to 507 of the family's 1533-position model. Lineage: Bacteria; Pseudomonadati; Thermomicrobiota; Thermomicrobia; Sphaerobacterales; Sphaerobacteraceae. The record is from RNAcentral.